Long non-coding RNA from Piliocolobus tephrosceles (Ugandan red Colobus), 1790 nucleotides. RefSeq lists it as uncharacterized. The record is from RefSeq and is a predicted model, not a curated record. NCBI's taxonomy places the organism in Eukaryota, Metazoa, Chordata, Mammalia, Primates, Cercopithecidae. The transcript is spliced from 2 exons.
GCCCCCAGCCCACACGGGCGCCCCGCGCUCCCGCCCCCGGCCCCUGGCCACGCGAGCCCCAGGACCCUCAGUAGCGCCCCAGCGCCGCUGCAGCUCAGACACACCGAAAUAGGAAUGAUUUAAUCCAACGACACCUCCCAGGGCUGCCUAGUCCCGGUUCCGCCAGCUCCUGAGAUUGGGGAGGGGAAUCAGGUGGAACUCGGAUUGGGGGGCGGAAAAGGCCCGAGUGGGAGGGAACGCGCGGGGUCGGCUGCUACCUUGUAAGCGAGUUAGGUUCCUGCAGAAAGGAAAGACGAAGGUCGCCCACGGACCCUCGGAUGACCUCGGCGCGGCCUGGUGGCCAGGAACAGCCGCGCGUGGACGAGGUCCCUUCCAGGGGUUCUCCCUGCAGGAGUCUCCAGGGAGGAAGUGGGCACGUGGGUCCUUAACCUCUCCAUUGCAUCAUCCCCAUCCCGGUGGGUACAGAAGCGCAGUAACCCCGCGAUACUCCCGGAAGACACCGCGUCUCCAACAUUUACACGGAGAUGCUGCUCGGCUCAGGUCGGGUCCGUACGCUUCCCGAGGUGCGUACUACGAGAGCCACACACAUCACUACCGAUAUUCCUGGGAAAGUCGGUGCCACAGUUCCGACCUGAAUCCGAAAGUGCUUCUAAAUCCCAUGCUUCACAGAACGUUCGGAAGGGGAGGCGCUCCGUGGGGGCUGCUGCCUGCCCAUGUAGCUGAACUGACUCGAAUAAAAGGGUGUCCACGUCUACAUCACACAUCUGUGUAAAUGCAGAAGCCUGCGGAUGCGCGGGGCUGGCCAGACUUCACAGUGUGCAGACACAUGGGCUCAUGCACGCGCGCGCGCUCACACACACUCACACCCCAAAUUACCUCCGGGAUGGAGAAAGCCGCUGCGGAUUGGCCAGCAGAGCCGUCACUCAUGCCCAGGGGGCAGGGAGACUUCGCAAAGCUGUUUCCUUUUUUUUUUUUUUCUCUGCUCUCCUCCCUACUGUUUCAUUUAAUGGUAAAACAACAGCAGAGCUCUGAAAGUUAGCCAUCUGCGCGGAGUUUGCCUUCUUUAAGGAGGGAGGCGUCAGACGAUAUCCAUUUAAAUAUAUUUUGUACUUCCACAAAGGAUGGAAAGGGAAAUUAACGAAGGGAGUGGAGGCGGAAAGGGAGCUCCGAGUAAGAAGGAGGGGUCAUCCCGCGGGGGGUUGGGGGGGCGGGGGCUGAGGGCCAACGCCAGGGAAAGAGUUGUUCUCUACACCGAAAAGGGACUUUGACCUUCCAUUGAUCUCUCAGAAUUAAAAAAUGUUUCUUCACAGGUCGGAUUGUAACAAACGCUCGUUCCUAAUUUAUGAACUCGUCGUUUUGAUUUUAUUAUUUAAGCAUGCGCCAGCAAUCGUGUUUCCUUAAGAAAGAACUGACCUAUUUUUGGCUGGAGAUAAACGAUCAUGUUAACAGAUGUUAAUCUUGUAAUCUGUUUUUCCUGUAAGCACUUUACCUACCCGGGUUUCAGACCUUAAAAAUAACAUCUUUUCCAAAAAGACCUGACGUCACAAUUCACUCCCUGAAAAAUCACACUCCCCCUCCAGUUUCUUCCCCUGCAAUGAUUUCAAAGACAUUAAAUCUUUUCCACUUUAUAAAUGCUGAUCUGUUCUGCCUCUACUCCCACAGGCUCUUAUUUGCAUUUCAAAUUCCACAGGUUACACCAGUCGCCUUUUCAAAAAAAUGUAAACCAACAAUGAAGCAGCAAAUGGCUUUUUGUGCAUCUGGAUUAAAUAAAGCACAGAAUGAAUAUAUUU